Molecule: small nucleolar RNA, 128 nt
Organism: Apodemus sylvaticus (European woodmouse)
Lineage: Eukaryota; Metazoa; Chordata; Mammalia; Rodentia; Muridae
Product: small nucleolar RNA SNORA17
Exons: 1
Source: RefSeq, a predicted model, not a curated record
CCUGCCCCUAGAGGAGUUGCAGGUGUGCCUGCUGUGUCACAUGUGCAUUAGUCGGUGGCAAAGAGGAGAGAGGUUAUAUCUCUGCCCAGUGUUCUGACCUGUGAAUAUUUAGGGAAUAGCUUAACAUU